GGCGUUCAUGUUUUACUUUAUGUGUGUUCCUUGUGUAGAUUGUAGAGCUGCCAAACAGGAAAAUAAUUGUCUUCAUCAUCUUAGAUGGUGUACAAAAAAUCUAUUUUUAAAGAGUGUAUUUAAUGGGGAAUUAUUUUAACCACUCUCUUCUUAUAAGGACACGUGGAUGUUGAGAAAUAGUAAAGUGAUCCUGUGUUUGAGUCUACAUUCCUUUGUCAUUUGUAAUUUGUUUCACUUGUUUUUUAGAGUCAGCCAACUCGAAAGAGAAUUAAACUGCCUUCUGUUGUCAACUACAAUAAAAAGCUAGACAUUUUCUCAGACCAUGACACCUCCAGUCCAACCUGUCAGCUCCUAAUAAGCUAAACUUUUUGUGUCUUUAAGGUGCAUUUCUCAUUGUCAACCAUGCAGGCUUUGGGACGCUGCAGGAAUUCCCUAUAUGCAGAUGAUCACUGAUUCACUAUCAAAGAGGCUGUGUGAGCUGUCCAGCCACGCCUGUCUCUAGAGGAGGAAAUAUAAAUCCACCUGCAGGACGUCUCCUGUGCAUUCUUGAAUGAGACUGAGAGGCUUCUGUUGCAGCUCGUUUCUCCACAGUAUUUCCUUCCAGUCAUCAUGGAGCGUGAGUGUUUUCCCAUCAGCAUCCGUUUAACUGGAGUCCUCCGCAAGGAGAAGAUCAAAAUGUACAUAACUUCUGUGCUUUGGUCGGAUCAGAAUGAGAUUGUAGUUUAUAGAAGUUUUGAUGAUUUCAGGAAAAUGCAUAAACAACUGAAGAAGACGUUUUCAUCUGGGAGUAAAAUAAAUAAAUCUGUCAGAAUCCUUCCUAAAUUUCAAAG
Molecule: long non-coding RNA, 830 nt
Organism: Girardinichthys multiradiatus
Lineage: Eukaryota; Metazoa; Chordata; Actinopteri; Cyprinodontiformes; Goodeidae
Exons: 3
Source: RefSeq, a predicted model, not a curated record